AUUUUUCCUGUGUCGAGAUCAAUGUAGACAGUUUGAGCAACAGCACAAGCGAAAAUAGCAGAGAAGAUUCCAAUAUUAAUUAGACACUUCAUCAUGAUUUUUUAUUUUUAGACCCAGAAAGCUAGCAGCUCCACGUCCAAAUGAUCACUGAAGUAAUCAUCGUUGGAGUUACUCAAUUUGCCUCGUCAUAUUCUUUUUAAUGAUUGGGAUGUGUGUGUGGGACUUGUAACAGGAAUGGCGUAAAUAGGAAACGAAAAUAUCUUAUUGAAUAUUGAUGUUUCUGUUUCUUUGAGGUUCAACCGGUUAGGGGACUCUUCCAAUUGUUGAGCGUGUGAAAGAUAUUACAUCGUCAUUGGCUUCAUCAUCAUUUCUCCGAUGUAGAAAUUGUUCCUCGAGAUUGAGAAUUACAACUAUGAAUAUCGAUGCACCAGCAAAUAAAACAUAAAGGAAUGCCUCCAAAGAUAACUACCAGAACAAAAAUGGACAGUAAAAAGUUUAACGAUUAUUUCGACACAAUAUUUCUGACGUGCCUCUUGACGAUAUCUAAAUAAUGGUCUGAAGACGAUGUCUUCGGCGACGUCCAUGUCCUCCAGAGAACGUCGUACCUGCGUUAUUACGUAAUAAAUUUAAACCCCAAGGUAUUGCAAUUGAAAACAAUGCAGAUAUAGUACGGAGAUUUGCGACCAGAGGACUGACUUGAGUCGUUGGGGGAUUGGAAUUUGGAUCUACAACUGGUACCAGAGGAACCAGGAGUCCAUGAC
Molecule: long non-coding RNA, 761 nt
Organism: Fopius arisanus
Lineage: Eukaryota; Metazoa; Arthropoda; Insecta; Hymenoptera; Braconidae
Exons: 4
Source: RefSeq, a predicted model, not a curated record